UACGUAGGAGACGAGCGUUGUCCGGAAUUACUGGGCGUAAAGCGCGUGUAGGCGGAUGAGCAAGUCUGCUGUGAAAGCUCCUGGCUUAACCGGGAGUGGGCGGUGGAAACUGCUCGUCUGGAGGACGGUAGAGGUAGGUAGAAUUCCCGGUGUAGUGGUGAAAUGCGUAGAGAUCGGGAGGAAUACCUGUGGCGAAGGCGGCCUACUGGGCCGGACCUGACGCUGAGACGCGAAGGCGUGGGGAGCGAACGGG
This 253-nucleotide ribosomal RNA is filed under the name uncultured bacterium. RNAcentral describes it as "partial 16S ribosomal RNA". It matches the Rfam family "Bacterial small subunit ribosomal RNA", at positions 524 to 776 of the family's 1533-position model. The record is from RNAcentral.